UACGAAGGGGGCUAGCGUUGCUCGGAAUCACUGGGCGUAAAGGGUGCGUAGGCGGGUCUUUAAGUCAGGGGUGAAAUCCUGGAGCUCAACUCCAGAACUGCCUUUGAUACUGAGGAUCUUGAGUUCGGGAGAGGUGAGUGGAACUGCGAGUGUAGAGGUGAAAUUCGUAGAUAUUCGCAAGAACACCAGUGGCGAAGGCGGCUCACUGGCCCGAUACUGACGCUGAGGCACGAAAGCGUCGGGAGCAAACAGG
This 253-nucleotide ribosomal RNA is filed under the name uncultured bacterium. RNAcentral's name for it is "partial 16S ribosomal RNA". It matches the Rfam family "Bacterial small subunit ribosomal RNA", at positions 524 to 776 of the family's 1533-position model. The record is from RNAcentral.